UACGUAGGCGGGAAAUUAAGUCAGUAGUGAAAUCCCACAGCUUAACUGUGGAACUGUUAUUGAUACUGGUUUUCUUGAAUAUAGUUGAGGUAGGCGGAAUGUGUAAUGUAGCGGUGAAAUGCUUAGAUAUUACACAGAGCACCGAUUGCGAAGGCAGCUUACUAAGCUAUGAUUGACGCUGAGGUACGAAAGCGUGGGGAGCGAACAGGAUUAGAUACCCUGGUAGUCC
This 229-nucleotide ribosomal RNA is filed under the name uncultured bacterium. Its description in RNAcentral is "partial 16S ribosomal RNA". It matches the Rfam family "Bacterial small subunit ribosomal RNA", at positions 568 to 796 of the family's 1533-position model. The record is from RNAcentral.